Papaver somniferum (opium poppy) is the source of this 914-nucleotide long non-coding RNA. RefSeq lists it as uncharacterized. The record is from RefSeq and is a predicted model, not a curated record. The transcript has 3 exons. NCBI's taxonomy places the organism in Eukaryota, Viridiplantae, Streptophyta, Magnoliopsida, Ranunculales, Papaveraceae.
UCUUCUUCCCCUCUAAUAACAGAAAUAAAACUUAUCGCUCCCACCACCACCAUCUUCAUCGUUCCCACCAUCACCACGAUUUUUGUCGCCACCACCACUAGCAACGUCAUCUCUAUCGUCUUAUAUGUGAAAAUUAGAUUAUACAUCAGUAAAGUUUCAGAUCUGAUUGGAAACCACCUCCACCACCAAUACUUCCAUCGAUCCCAACUCCAAUCCAACACCAACUCCAAAUUCUGCAUCACUUCUUAGUCACUAAUCAAUUUGCUCCAACACCGACGGUUCAUUCAGAUAUGGAACAUUUUGAAAUCCAGAACGCUGGUUGAAUUUUGAUUUCAUCCAUCUCCAUCUCUUUGUAAUUUGUAGUUGUUUGGAGCAUUAGUGUUAGUACUUGUUAGUGGGUGGAGGUGGAACAUGUGGAAUUGGUAAGUUGGUGGACUACCGUGUAGAGGGUGGAGUUUGGAGAUGGAGCGAUGAUUUAUUCUCUUAGGUUUCUUCAGGCGCACAUGGUUAUGAACCCCAAUUGACGAUGCAACUAGCAGAGCCUUGGUAUACUCAAGCUUUAUCAGAUUACUUAGAUUGUUCUACAUAUUUUAUCAAGGGUGUGGUUGUGAGAUUUCUCACAACUACAGGUAACCUAGCCAAGGGAGCCGAAGCGGAUGAGAGGCUGAGAUUGUGUCACAAGGGUUUUUUUUUUUUUUUUUCUUCUUGGAUUACCCUCCGGACUCUGUAAAUCCUUAGUGGUUAACUGGUUAUGUAGAUCCGUGAAUGACAUAUUGUUUUUUUAAAGUCUGGUUUUGUUUAGCAAUGUUCAUUGAAUUUCUAUAUAUAUUGAUUGCAUUUUGUUCAAGGUAAACCGUGCUCUGUUUUUCCCAUGCCUUCUUCCCGUGAUGAAGAAUGAUGGCCUAAAAAUAUAU